Molecule: ribosomal RNA, 1575 nt
Filed under: Triticum aestivum (bread wheat)
Lineage: Eukaryota; Viridiplantae; Streptophyta; Magnoliopsida; Poales; Poaceae
Description: partial small subunit ribosomal RNA
Source: RNAcentral
AUGGAGAAAAAGUAUUCAGUUUCCUCAGAUAUCAGUUAUCUGACCAUAUUAUCAUUGGUUGAGUUGGAUGGCUAUGGCAUGGAUGCAUUUCUGACUUAUGUAAAGAAAGAGGGAAAGGGGCUGGAGGGUGUGGAGGCCCUGGAUAGUGAGGAGGCAUUAGAGUCAAUGCUUGACUUAUUUGUUGAUAAGAAGGUACUGAACAUCAGUGUCAGAAAAGCUACUGAUCCAAGCCCAGCAGAUGAGGAACAGAUCCCCAUUGAUCAUGUUGGUGAACCUGUUGUUUACAGAGUUUCACAAGAAGGUGUUUUGUACCCUGCCUCUAGUGCUAGUUUGCCAGCUUUAACCCCUGAUGAGCCCUACAUGAACACACAGCAAAGCAACAAUUUGAACAAGGGGAAAACAGUCAUGGAAGAAGAAGAUGCAGAAGAAGAAGCAGAUGAAGAAGAAGAAGAUGUACCAGAGGAAGAAGAUGAAGUUGAAGAUGACAAAUCAUCUUCAGAUUUUGAGUUCUUUAGGGGUGAUUACAGAGGGGAGAAGAUUUCUUACAAAGCUUGGUGUAGGGGUGAAGAUGAGGCUGGCACUGAUACUGCAGAGCACUUUUGUGCAGCUAACUUAGAACCUUCUGAGUUUUGGGAGGAAGAACCAAUUGUUUCUGAAGAUGAAGAAGUAGAGGAUCAUGCUGCUGUAACUACAAAAGCAGCCAAAAAGCUUAAGCCGGUUAGAAAACCUGGCCCAACUAGCAAGUCUCACAGUGAGCCUGAGCACAUCAACUUUGAAGAUUAUGUCCCUGAAGCUGAUGAGUACUGUUUUCCAGGUGACUUAGGCAUAAGUGAUGAAGAGGAUGCACCAAGGCUGCCAUCUGGAAGGAAGAGUAGGAAGAAGCAGAAGAAGGAGAGGAGAUCGUAUGAUCCAAAAAGGCCUGAUGCACAUGAGCAGUUUUCAAUGCAUUUGUGCUUUGAAAAUGUAGUUGAGUUCAGAGAAGCACUUAGAAAUUUUCAUGUGAGGACUCUUAGGAAUUUUGAGUAUCACAGAAAUGAACCAACUAGGGUUAUUUCUUGGUGCUCUGAUAGAAAACAUGGUUGUGAGUUUUACAUAGUUGCCUCCAAGAUAGCUCGUGAGGCAACUUUCAGUAUCAAGAAGAUGAACCUAGAUCACACUUGUGGAGCAAGUGGGGAGAAAACAAAGGUGAUAGUCAGUUGGGUUGCUAAGGUUUGUGAGGAUACAGUCAGAUCCAACCCUGGAGCUGGUGUUGACAUAAUUAUCUCAUACACAAAGAAGAAGUUUGGUGUGCAUGUGCCUAAAAGCUUGGCAUAUAGGGCAAGGAAGCAAGCAGUUGAGGUUGUGCAAGGAGAUCACAAACUCCAGUAUCACAGAAUAAGGGACUACCUGCAGUGCGUGCUAGAUACUAACCCUGGCAGUAGGUGCAUAGUAACAACACAUGAGAACCCACUUAACCCAGCUCCUACCCCAAGGUUUCACUAUAUGUUUUACUACUUGUUUGCAUGCAAGGAGGGUUUUCUGAAUGGAUGCAUGCCAUUUAUAGGUAAGUAUUCAAAAAUUUAUAUGUUUUUUUAA